UACGGAGGGUGCAAGCGUUAUCCGGAAUCACUGGGUUUAAAGGGUGCGUAGGCUGUUAGAUAAGUCAGUUGUGAAAUUCCCCGGCUUAACCGGGUGGACUGCGAAUGAUACUGUUUAACUUGAAUGAGGUUGAGGUAGGCGGAAUGUGGCAUGUAGCGGUGAAAUGCUUAGAUAUGCCAUAGAACACCGAUAGCGAAGGCAGCUUGCUACACGAGUAUUGACACUGAGGCACGAAAGCGUGGGGAUCAAACAGG
RNAcentral lists this ribosomal RNA (254 nucleotides) under uncultured bacterium. RNAcentral's name for it is "partial 16S ribosomal RNA". It matches the Rfam family "Bacterial small subunit ribosomal RNA", at positions 524 to 776 of the family's 1533-position model. The record is from RNAcentral.